UACGUAGGGUGCGAGCGUUAAUCGGAAUUACUGGGCGUAAAGCGUGCGCAGGCGGUUGUGUAAGACAGAUGUGAAAUCCCCGGGCUCAACCUGGGAACUGCGUUUGUGACUGCACGACUAGAAUACGGCAGAGGGGGGUGGAAUUCCACGUGUAGCAGUGAAAUGCGUAGAUAUGUGGAGGAACACCGAUGGCGAAGGCAGCCCCCUGGGCCUGUAUUGACGCUCAUGCACGAAAGCGUGGGGAGCAAAC
This 250-nucleotide ribosomal RNA is filed under the name uncultured bacterium. RNAcentral describes it as "partial 16S ribosomal RNA". It matches the Rfam family "Bacterial small subunit ribosomal RNA", at positions 524 to 773 of the family's 1533-position model. The record is from RNAcentral.